UUGAGCCGAGUGCGGUGAAAGUCGCACGCUCGGUUCUUAGGGGGGAAAGAAGCCGAAAGUCUUUUCUGGUAAAGUCCUCUUAUGCGUACAGAGUGGAAAUCUGAACCGAUAACUGUCUCGGUGAAAGGCUAACACAAUAAGUCGAACGGAUGGACACUCCAAGGCGGUUUGAGAUGUGACAGGCUAGAUAUAAGGCUUCGACCUACCCGAC
RNAcentral lists this non-coding RNA (211 nucleotides) under Dactylococcopsis salina PCC 8305. Lineage: Bacteria; Bacillati; Cyanobacteriota; Cyanophyceae; Nodosilineales; Cymatolegaceae. The record is from RNAcentral.